CUUCCUGUUUUCAAGACUCUCUUAAAUCUUCUGUUGUGAUCACUGGUGAAGUGUAUGGAGAAGAGCUACAAGUAGAUUCAAGUUUCUACUGCAUCUGCACCCUCAGGAGUCCUCUAUUCUCCUGAGAUCCAUCUCUUGGCCCCAACAGUUUUUGCUGACUUCUUAACCAGGGUCUGGCAGCAUCUAUCCCAGCGAUGGGAUGCUGCCAUUUUGGAGAGGUCUCAGCCAGUGAUGAAGAGUGGUCACAUGUAGGGAAAGUUUGGUGUGAUGAUUAUGGCAACUAGGACCAGUGCUGAAGCUAUCACCUCUCCUACUGCCAGCAUUGUGCAAUGGUGUGCAAUGGUAUCAUCAGCCCACAAGACAGAAUGAUGAAGAAG
Molecule: long non-coding RNA, 377 nt
Organism: Heterocephalus glaber (naked mole-rat)
Lineage: Eukaryota; Metazoa; Chordata; Mammalia; Rodentia; Bathyergidae
Source: RefSeq, a predicted model, not a curated record